Molecule: ribosomal RNA, 873 nt
Filed under: uncultured archaeon
Lineage: Archaea
Description: bacterial SSU rRNA
Rfam family: Archaeal small subunit ribosomal RNA
Source: RNAcentral
AGCCAUGCGAGUCGAAUGUAGCAAUACAUGGCGUACUGCUCAGUAACACGUGGACAACCUACCCUUAGGACGGGGAUAAACCCGGGAAACUGGGUAUAAUACCCGAUAGUCCUCGGAUGCUGGAAUGCCCCGAGUACUAAAGCUCCGGCGCCUAAGGAUGGGUCUGCGGCCUAUCAGGUAGUAGUGGGUGUAGCGUACCUACUAGCCUACGACGGGUACGGGUUGUGAGAGCAAGAGCCCGGAGAUGGAUUCUGAGACACGAAUCCAGGCCCUACGGGGUGCAGCAGGCGCGAAAACUUUACAAUGCUGGAAACAGCGAUAAGGGGACCUCGAGUGCCAGGUUACAAAUCUGGCUGUCGUGAUGCCUAAAAAGCAUUGCAUAGCAAGGGCCGGGCAAGACCGGUGCCAGCCGCCGCGGUAACACCGGCGGCUCGAGUGGUAACCGUUAUUAUUGGGUCUAAAGGGUCUGUAGCCGGCUGGAUAAGUCUCUUGGGAAAUCUGGCAGCUUAACUGUCAGGCUUUCAGGAGAUACUGUCUGGCUCGAGGCCGGGAGAGGUGAGAGGUACUUCAGGGGUAGGGGUGAAAUCUUGUAAUCCUUGAAGGACCACCAGUGGCGAAGGCGUCUCACCAGAACGGACCUGACGGCAAGGGACGAAAGCUAGGGGCACGAACCGGAUUAGAUACCCGGGUAGUCCUAGCCGUAAACGAUACUCGCUAGGUGUCGGCCACGGUGCGACCGUUGUCGGUGCCGUAGGGAAGCCGUGAAGCGAGCCACCUGGGAAGUACGGCCGCAAGGCUGAAACUUAAAGGAAUUGGCGGGGGAGCACCACAACGGGUGGAGCUUGCGGUUUAAUUGGACUCAACGCCGGGAAG